GAUGAAGAACGUAGCGAAAUGCGAUAAGUAGUGUGAAUUGCAGAAUUCAGUGAAUCAUCGAAUCUUUGAACGCACAUUGCGCCCCUUGGUAUUCCAUGGGGCAUGCCUGUUCGAGCGUCAUUUGUACCUUCAAGCUCUGCUUGGUGUUGGGUGUUUGUCUCGCCUCUGCGUGUAGACUCGCCUCAAAACAAUUGGCAGCCGGCGUAUUGAUUUCGGAGCGCAGUACAUCUCGCGCUUUGCACUCAUAACGACGACGUUCAAAAGUACAUUUUUACACUCUUGACCUCGGAUCAGGUAGGGAUACCCGCUGAACUUAAGCAUAUCAAUAAGCGGAGGA
This 337-nucleotide unclassified non-coding RNA is filed under the name soil metagenome. RNAcentral's name for it is "partial contains 5.8S ribosomal RNA, internal transcribed spacer 2, and large subunit ribosomal RNA". The stretch from base 1 to 120 matches the Rfam family "5.8S ribosomal RNA", at positions 35 to 154 of the family's 154-position model. The record is from RNAcentral.